GCUCCAGUAGCCUAGUGGUUAGAGCGUCCACCUUGGAUGCGGGAGGUUGUUGGUUCGAUCUCUGGUCGAGUCA
Molecule: non-coding RNA, 73 nt
Organism: Potamilus streckersoni
Lineage: Eukaryota; Metazoa; Mollusca; Bivalvia; Unionida; Unionidae
Source: the annotation of a GenBank genome assembly